GUCCACGCCCUAAACGAUGCAUAUUUGGUGUGGGUCAUUCAGUUGAUCCGUGCCGGAGCUAACGCGUUAAAUAUGCCGCCUGGGGAGUACAGUCGCAAGGCUGAAACUCAAAGGAAUUGACGGGGGCCCCGCACAAGCGGUGGAGCAUGUGGUUCAAUUCGACGCAACGCGAAGAACCUUACCUGGGCUCGAACGGCUGGUCAACGAUCGUGGAAACACGGUUACUCCGCAAGGGGUCCAGUCGAGGUGCUGCAUGGCUGUCGU
This 264-nucleotide ribosomal RNA is filed under the name uncultured bacterium. RNAcentral's name for it is "partial 16S ribosomal RNA". It matches the Rfam family "Bacterial small subunit ribosomal RNA", at positions 793 to 1055 of the family's 1533-position model. The record is from RNAcentral.